This 424-nucleotide ribosomal RNA is filed under the name uncultured Nitrosospira sp. RNAcentral describes it as "bacterial SSU rRNA". It matches the Rfam family "Bacterial small subunit ribosomal RNA", at positions 202 to 622 of the family's 1533-position model. Lineage: Bacteria; Pseudomonadati; Pseudomonadota; Betaproteobacteria; Nitrosomonadales; Nitrosomonadaceae. The record is from RNAcentral.
UAAGACCUCGCGUUAUUGGAGCGGCCGAUGCCGGAUUAGCUAGUUGGUGAGGUAAGAGCUCACCAAGGCGACGAUCCGUAGCUGGUCUGAGAGGACGACCAGCCACACUGGGACUGAGACACGGCCCAGACUCCUACGGGAGGCAGCAGUGGGGAAUUUUGGACAAUGGGCGCAAGCCUGAUCCAGCCAUGCCGCGUGAGUGAAGAAGGCCUUCGGGUUGUAAAGCUCUUUCGCAAGGAAAGAAAACUUAUCUAUUAAUACUAGAUGAGGUUGACGGUACCUUGAUAAGAAGCACCGGCUAACUACGUGCCAGCAGCCGCGGUAAUACGUAGGGUGCGAGCGUUAAUCGGAAUUACUGGGCGUAAAGCGUGCGCAGGCGGUUUUGUAAGUCAGAUGUGAAAUCCCCGGGCUCAACCUGGGAACU